GGAGGGUAUAGCUCAGUGGUAGAGCACAUGCUUAGCAUGCACGAGAUCCUGGGUUCAAUCCCCAGUACCUCCA
RNAcentral lists this transfer RNA (73 nucleotides) under Vicugna pacos (alpaca). Its description in RNAcentral is "tRNA-Ala (AGC) (tRNA-Ala-AGC-648-1)". It matches the Rfam family "tRNA". From Rfam's summary of the family: Transfer RNA (tRNA) molecules are approximately 80 nucleotides in length. Their secondary structure includes four short double-helical elements and three loops (D, anti-codon, and T loops). Further hydrogen bonds mediate the characteristic L-shaped molecular structure. tRNAs have two regions of fundamental functional importance: the anti-codon, which is responsible for specific mRNA codon recognition, and the 3' end, to which the tRNAs corresponding amino acid is attached (by aminoacyl-tRNA synthetases). tRNAs cope with the degeneracy of the genetic code in two manners: having more than one tRNA (with a specific anti-codon) for a particular amino acid; and 'wobble' base-pairing, i.e. permitting non-standard base-pairing at the 3rd anti-codon position. Lineage: Eukaryota; Metazoa; Chordata; Mammalia; Artiodactyla; Camelidae. The record is from RNAcentral.